UCCCCUACUCUAUGUCAAUGAU
This 22-nucleotide non-coding RNA is filed under the name Arabidopsis thaliana (thale cress). Lineage: Eukaryota; Viridiplantae; Streptophyta; Magnoliopsida; Brassicales; Brassicaceae. The record is from RNAcentral.